RNAcentral lists this unclassified non-coding RNA (258 nucleotides) under Basidiomycota sp. RNAcentral's name for it is "partial contains small subunit ribosomal RNA, internal transcribed spacer 1, and 5.8S ribosomal RNA". The stretch from base 1 to 47 matches the Rfam family "Eukaryotic small subunit ribosomal RNA", at positions 1785 to 1831 of the family's 1831-position model. Lineage: Eukaryota; Fungi; Basidiomycota. The record is from RNAcentral.
AAAGUCGUAACAAGGUUUCCGUAGGUGAACCUGCGGAAGGAUCAUUAUUGAAUGAAUCUAGAGUUGGUUGUCGCUGGCCCCCCAGGGCAUGUGCACGCCUUCUCUCCUUCAUCCACACACACCUGUGCACUUGUGAGACGGAGGAUUGAAAAAGUCCUCUGCCUACUUAAUCACACAAACUCAUCCUAACUUGAACCGAAUGUAAUUGAUGUAACGCAUCAUUGGAACUAAGUUUCAACAACGGAUCUCUUGGCUCUC